Molecule: ribosomal RNA, 168 nt
Filed under: uncultured bacterium
Lineage: Bacteria
Description: partial 16S ribosomal RNA
Rfam family: Bacterial small subunit ribosomal RNA
Source: RNAcentral
UACGGGAGGCAGCAGGGGGGAAUUUUCCCGCAAUGGGGCGAAAGCCUGACGGAGCAACGCCGCGUGAGGGAUGAAGGCCUCUGGGCUGUAAACCUCUUUUAUCAACGGAAGAAGAUCUGACGGUACUUGAUGAAUAAGCCACGGCUAAUUCCGUGCCAGCCGCCGCGG